AUGGCGCAGAGGGCCGCGGGCGGCCUUCUCCGACGGUCCAUCGGGCUCGCGCCGCCGACAACCGCGAGGGCCCUGAGCACCAGCGCCACCACGCCGGCCGCGGCGGCAGAGGGAGAGGCGGCGGCCAAGGCGAGGAGGAACAAGAAGAAGAACCUGUUCGACGUGGCGCAGUUCCUGCCGGACUGGGGCGUCGGCUACAGGGUUGCCAAGACCACCUGGCGCGACGUCUCCUACCAGAUCACCAAGAUCAACCUCUACAAGGAUGGCCGCCACGGGAAGGCGUGGGGGAUUCGGCACAAGGCCGGCGUGCAAGCAGCCGAUGCUCCGAUAAGAAUCAGCGGGGUUAACAAACGUGGUUGGAAGUACAUAAAGGCGUCGUUGCAAGAUAUCCCUGGAGCAGAGCCGCCAGCCGUCACCGCUGCUUAG
This 426-nucleotide ribosomal RNA is filed under the name Triticum aestivum (bread wheat). RNAcentral's name for it is "partial small subunit ribosomal RNA". Lineage: Eukaryota; Viridiplantae; Streptophyta; Magnoliopsida; Poales; Poaceae. The record is from RNAcentral.